Cavia porcellus (domestic guinea pig) is the source of this 1029-nucleotide long non-coding RNA. RefSeq lists it as uncharacterized. The record is from RefSeq and is a predicted model, not a curated record. NCBI's taxonomy places the organism in Eukaryota, Metazoa, Chordata, Mammalia, Rodentia, Caviidae. The transcript is spliced from 5 exons.
CACUCAUAGAUGGAAGGAAAGGGACAUGGGGAGGAGGGUUGGGUCACCCUUACUCUGCACACUUCCGGCAGCAGGCUGCCCACUUGUUCUGUGUCCUAUGUAUGCAUGUGUGUGUGUCCUUGUGAGAGAGAGCUGUAUAAGUGUACGUAUACAUGCAUGUGUGUAUAUGCCUAUGAGAGAGCUGUGCUAGCAGGCACAUGCCUGUGCGUGUGAUGUGUGUACCUGUGUGAGAGAGCUGUGUAGCGUAUGUAGACAUGUAUUGUGUGAGUGUAAAUGCACGUGUGCUUGAGUCACCUUGCAAGAAUUUCAGAUGUAUGUGAGUGUGCUCGGGUGUGCACGCUGAGCUCCUGCGUGUGGCACCCUCACUCACUCCAGUCUCUGGGAGUGCCUGACAACAGCAAGCCUCCUCCCUACCCGUGCUGCCCCGUGCUGCACGCUCAUCUCAGUGCUGUGAUACAGACACUGUGCAGCUCUCUGGUUCCCUGCUUCUGAGUCCAGGGCUGCUUCUCCGCUGGCAGAUGUGGAGUUUGUCCACUGGGGAUCUGCACUGGGACGUCCCUCAGCACAGGGCAUUGAACUCUGGCGUGCUGCCUCCCCAGUCCUAACUCGAGCUUUCAAAUUUUUAACAAGACCCUAUUAAGUUCCUGAGGAAGGACGAAUUUGUGAUCCUCCUGCCUCAUCCUCCCAAGAGCAGGUUGAGAUCACCCAGACUUUGUCCUGAGUGGUUCCCCAGCUGUCUGAUGUUUUGGAUCAUACCUCCGGGCCUGAGAUCUGCUGUGAGGUGGCCUCAUGGAGUCAGUCAGCUGUCCUUUUGCCCAGCUUUUGGAUGAGGACUCCAGGGUCAUGGGACCAGAGGAGUGAGAAAAAGGGAGAGAAGAUGACAAGAAGGGUGGCCAGAGUCAUUGCAGAGUUCAGCCAGAAAGCCAGGUUGAACAUGGUGCUAUCCUUCAGCUGGAAGGGGAUGGCAGGAUGGCACCAGCUCCCAAGAGACGGACGACGGCACCCCUGCCCUCGGGGGAGUAUCCCAGG